Molecule: small RNA, 581 nt
Filed under: Rattus norvegicus (Norway rat)
Lineage: Eukaryota; Metazoa; Chordata; Mammalia; Rodentia; Muridae
Description: uncharacterized LOC102556361
Source: RNAcentral
GCUUUUUAGUCUCCUCCAUGGAUGAACAACCUGAUUGAUUAUCUAUUACCAAAUGGUCAGCCCUAAAAACAUACCUUCAGGCAACACUAAAGAUACUCAACAUGCUGUAUUGAGUCUUUUCUUCAUAAGCCAAAUCCUAGAAGCCAUGUCCUCUAUAACAGCAGAAGUGCAGCAGGCCAAGAUGAUAGAAACUGAAGAAGCAUGUUGAAUGCCACAUGCCCUGGCUUUUGCUGCUAGGAAACUGGGAACAGCAGGAAGCCAUGUUGCAUCACAUUCACACUUGAAACAAAACAGGAAGAAGUUCUACCGCCUCGAAGCACGUAUAAACAAGCAGAGACAACUCUUCUACUCUCUUCAGUGUCCUGCGUCUAUACAACCCAAGACAAUGGCUCCCCUCGGAGUACUGUGAUGAAUCCACUAGAAGAACGAAAUGAAUCCAAGCCACGAGGAGUUGCAAAAAUCCCAGGAUGCCUGUCACCCUGUGCUCUCACUUUUAUUACAGAAGAAGCUCUGCUAAAAUAAAGGCCCAGCCCUGAUAUAUCAUUCUCUAAUGCCACAAGAACUGUAUAUAAAACACUAUG